Molecule: ribosomal RNA, 473 nt
Filed under: uncultured organism
Description: partial 16S ribosomal RNA
Rfam family: Bacterial small subunit ribosomal RNA
Source: RNAcentral
UACACUCCUGCGGGAGGCAACAGUGGGGAAUUUUGGACAAUGGGCGAAAGCCUGAUCCAGCAAUGCCGCGUGAGUGAAGAAGGCCUUCGGGUUGUAAAGCUCUUUUGUCAGGGAAGAAACGGUGAAAGCUAAUAUCUUUUGCUAAUGACGGUACCUGAAGAAUAAGCACCGGCUAACUACGUGCCAGCAGCCGCGGUAAUACGUAGGGUGCAAGCGUUAAUCGGAAUUACUGGGCGUAAAGCGUGCGCAGGCGGUUUUGUAAGUCUGAUGUGAAAUCCCCGGGCUCAACCUGGGAAUUGCAUUGGAGACUGCAAGGCUAGAAUCUGGCAGAGGGGGGUAGAAUUCCACGUGUAGCAGUGAAAUGCGUAGAUAUGUGGAGGAACACCGAUGGCGAAGGCAGCCCCCUGGGUCAAGAUUGACGCUCAUGCACGAAAGCGUGGGGAGCAAACAGGAUUAGAUACCCCGGUAGUCCC